RNAcentral lists this ribosomal RNA (590 nucleotides) under uncultured bacterium. RNAcentral's name for it is "partial 16S ribosomal RNA". It matches the Rfam family "Bacterial small subunit ribosomal RNA", at positions 355 to 1375 of the family's 1533-position model. The record is from RNAcentral.
UGGGGAAUUUUGGACAAUGGGCGAAAGCCUGAUCCAGCAAUGCCGCGUGUGUGAAGAAGGCCUUCGGGUUGUAAAGCACUUUUGUCCGGAAAGAAAUCCUUGGCUCUAAUACAGUCGGGGGAUGACGGUACCGGAAGAAUAAGCACCGGCUAACUACGUGCCAGCAGCCGCGGUAAUACGUAGGGUGCAAGCGUUAAUCGGAAUUACUGGGCGUAAAGCGUGCGCAGGCGGUUUGCUAAGACCGAUGUGACGGAUCCCCAGGCUCAGCAUGGGAAGCUGCAUUGUGACUGGCAGGCUAGAGUAUGGCAGAGGGGGGUAGAAUUCCACGUGUAGCAGUNAAAUGCGUAGAGAUGUGGAGGAAUACCGAUGGCGAAGGCAGCCCCCUGGGCCAAUACUGACGCUCAUGCACGAAAAGCGUGGGGAGCAAAACAGGAUUAGAUACCCUGGCAGUCCACGCCCCUAAACGAUGUCAACUAGUUGUUGGGGAUUCAUUUCCUUAGUAACGUAGCUAACGCGUGAAGUUGACCGCCUGGGGAGUACGGUCGCAAGAUUAAAACUCAAAUGAAUUGACGGGGUCAUAGCUGUUUCCU